AGCCCUGGAAACGGGGUCUAAUACCGGAUAACACUCUGUCCCGCAUGGGACGGGGUUAAAAGCUCCGGCGGUGAAGGAUGAGCCCGCGGCCUAUCAGCUUGUUGGUGGGGUAAUGGCCUACCAAGGCGACGACGGGUAGCCGGCCUGAGAGGGCGACCGGCCACACUGGGACUGAGACACGGCCCAGACUCCUACGGGAGGCAGCAGUGGGGAAUAUUGCACAAUGGGCGAAAGCCUGAUGCAGCGACGCCGCGUGAGGGAUGACGGCCUUCGGGUUGUAAACCUCUUUCAGCAGGGAAGAAGCGAAAGUGACGGUACCUGCAGAAGAAGCGCCGGCUAACUACGUGCCAGCAGCCGCGGUAAUACGUAGGGCGCAAGCGUUGUCCGGAAUUAUUGGGCGUAAAGAGCUCGUAGGCGGCUUGUCACGUCGGAUGUGAAAGCCCGGGGCUUAACCCCGGGUCUGCAUUCGAUACGGGCUAGCUAGAGUGUGGUAGGGGAGAUCGGAAUUCCUGGUGUAGCGGUGAAAUGCGCAGAUAUCAGGAGGAACACCGGUGGCGAAGGCGGAUCUCUGGGCCAUUACUGACG
Molecule: ribosomal RNA, 585 nt
Filed under: Streptomyces pratensis
Lineage: Bacteria; Bacillati; Actinomycetota; Actinomycetes; Kitasatosporales; Streptomycetaceae
Description: bacterial SSU rRNA
Rfam family: Bacterial small subunit ribosomal RNA
Source: RNAcentral